AUUGAACGCUGGCGGCAUGCCUUACACAUGCAAGUCGAACGGCAGCACGGGUGCUUGCACCUGGUGGCGAGUGGCGAACGGGUGAGUAAUACAUCGGAACAUGUCCUGUAGUGGGGGAUAGCCCGGCGAAAGCCGGAUUAAUACCGCAUACGAUCUACGGAUGAAAGCGGGGGCCCUUCGGGCCUCGCGCUUUCGGGUUGGCCGAUGGCUGAUUAGCUAGUUGGUGGGGUAAAGGCCUACCAAGGCGACGAUCAGUAGCUGGUCUGAGAGGACGACCAGCCACACUGGGACUGAGACACGGCCCAGACUCCUACGGGAGGCAGCAGUGGGGAAUUUUGGACAAUGGGCGAAAGCCUGAUCCAGCAAUGCCGCGUGUGUGAAGAAGGCCUUCGGGUUGUAAAGCACUUUUGUCCGGAAAGAAAUCCUUGGCCCUAAUACGGUCGGGGGAUGACGGUACCGGAAGAAUAAGCACCGGCUAACUACGUG
Molecule: ribosomal RNA, 486 nt
Filed under: uncultured bacterium
Lineage: Bacteria
Description: partial 16S ribosomal RNA
Rfam family: Bacterial small subunit ribosomal RNA
Source: RNAcentral